UUCAGUGAUUAUGGAGAAGGGGGUACACCCGGUCCCAUUCCGAACCCGGAAGUUAAGCCCUUCAUCGCCGAGAGUACUGCGGUGUAGUCCGUGGGAGGGUAGGACGUCGCUGACC
RNAcentral lists this ribosomal RNA (115 nucleotides) under Actinomycetota bacterium. The record is from RNAcentral. Lineage: Bacteria; Bacillati; Actinomycetota.